CCUACGGGAGGCUGCAGUGGGGAAUAUUGCACAAUGGGGGAAACCCUGAUGCAGCGACGCCGCGUGAGCGAAGAAGUAUCUCGGUAUGUAAAGCUCUAUCAGCAGGGGAGAAAAUGACGGUACCUGACUAAGAAGCCGCGGCUAACUACGUGCCAGCAGCCGCGGUAAUACGUAGGGGGCACGCGUUAUCCGGAUUUACUGGGUGUAAAGGGAGUGCAGGCGGCGCGUUAAGUCUGAUGUGAAAGCCCGGGGCUCAACCCCGGGACUGCAUUUGAAACUGUCGUGCUAGAGUGUCGGAGGGGCAAGUGGAAUUCCUAGUGUAGCGGUGAAAUGCGUAGAUAUUAGGAGGAACUCCAGUGGCGAAGGCGGCUUGCUGGACGACAACUGACGCUGAGGCUCGAAAGCGUGGGGAGCGAACAGGAUUAGAUACCCUUGUAGUC
This 440-nucleotide ribosomal RNA is filed under the name uncultured bacterium. Its description in RNAcentral is "partial 16S ribosomal RNA". It matches the Rfam family "Bacterial small subunit ribosomal RNA", at positions 338 to 795 of the family's 1533-position model. The record is from RNAcentral.